GAGGACUGUGAUCGAGAUGCUG
RNAcentral lists this non-coding RNA (22 nucleotides) under Arabidopsis thaliana (thale cress). The record is from RNAcentral. Lineage: Eukaryota; Viridiplantae; Streptophyta; Magnoliopsida; Brassicales; Brassicaceae.